UUCAGUAUCUGAAGAACUCUGAAACCCUAAACACCAAAUAGAACCGAAAACCCAUUCCUUUCCUAUUCCCUUUCUCUUGAACGGUGUCAUUCCAAAUCUCUCUCACUUUCUCAGCGACCUGUCUCUCACUCGCCAUCGCCGUCUCAGCGACCUUUCUCUUAUCCCUCUCACUCGCCGUCGCCGUCUCACUCUCAAUCUGAAUCUGUCACCCCUGCGACCCACGACUUCCUCCCUCUCGCCGUUUCAAGGCUCAAGUCUCGACCCACAAAUUCCCUCAUUUGCAAGCACAAGUGGACGAAUAAUUGAUCCAUAUCGUAGUUCUUUGAGUCCAAAAAUGGUAGAGGCUUUGAUAUGUACACAAAAUUGGCUUAGGUCAAUUCAUGUAGCAUUACAUCAUGAGCCAACCAUUGAGGAGAUUGAGUUUUGUGAAGAAGUUGAGAAAGAAAUGGCAAGGAGAAGCUCAAAGAAAGGUGCUAUGUUGCCUCCUAGGCCGCCUAUGCGUUGAGCUUGAGCUUGAAGACUUGGAAGAUUUUAUUUGUGCAAGACAUGAAGUGAUGAAACCUUGAAGGUUUAUUUGACUUGUGUGAUGUUUAAAUUUGGACUUUUUGAAGACUUAAACUUUGAUGUUUAAUUUGGACUUUUUGAAGACUUAAACUUGAUUGAUGAUUGAUUCUAUUUCUAGUUGGACUUUAAAUGUUUA
Molecule: non-coding RNA, 700 nt
Organism: Malus domestica (apple)
Lineage: Eukaryota; Viridiplantae; Streptophyta; Magnoliopsida; Rosales; Rosaceae
Source: RefSeq, a predicted model, not a curated record